This is a non-coding RNA of Protopterus annectens (West African lungfish), 251 nucleotides long. The record is from RefSeq and is a predicted model, not a curated record. NCBI's taxonomy places the organism in Eukaryota, Metazoa, Chordata, Ceratodontiformes, Protopteridae.
GACCUGCAUUUUUAAAAUUGCACAGUUGUAUUGCACAUUUAUAAGUUUUGACGAAUGUACUUUUCAGAGGGUGUAGAAUGUCUGGACUAUGAGCUAUAUUUACUCUUGUCUUGUCCCUGUUUCACGGAAACUGUGGCUUUUUUUUAUGUUGGCCAUUGUUUAUCUUUAAACAGGAAGAGUAUAAGCUAGCAGUUGAGGUAUUGUCUGCUGAAUGUAGUCUGUUUUGUCAGGCACUGCAGACUGCUACAGAA